CCCCUCCUCUCCCCGCCGCCGCCCACGACGGCAUCUCCUCGCCUCCCUCAACUUCGGGCGUUCUUCUUCCAUCCAGCCUAAGUCGAGCCUCGCGAGGGAUUCCGACACGGGUGGGGAUCAAUCCGAGGCGAUGCUUGCCAGUGAUCCGGCGCAGGAGGGGAUCAACCCGAGGCGACGCGUGCGAGGAUGCGAUGUUCAACAGGAUCCCGCCGGUAGCAGAUGUGCGACGUCUCAUCUUCCCCGUCACCGUUGCUCCUAGCUGCAGCCACUCGUGCACGUCACCGCCAGGUUUAGUUCAAUCGCUUUUGUAUAUGAGACACUGUCUGAUGCUUAGAUUCAGUGCGCCACUAGCCUCAAGGGAGAUUUGGAGGAGGCCGAGGCUUGGAACACCGAAGACAUGUGCUUGCGUCAGCUUGAUGCCACUCCGCCACUGCAGGCGGAUUACCAUGGUCGGCUGGAUUGACCUCCCCCCGAUUCACCUGCAUCACGCAUCUCGGCUUGAUCGACUGGAUACCAUAAAGCGCUGGAUUCCUUCGGGUGCCUUGCCGCAGCUGAAUCUCCUCGAGCACGUUGUCUCCCUCCCGCACUGGAUCCCCUCGGAUAUUUGAAUAUCAUUCCGGUCUUAAAUUAUGUUCCUGGAGAGAAAUACAGGAAACUGAGGUACUGCUACGCUGCCUGAUCUUCUUUGUCCCCAACGGAUCUCCUCUCACAUGAUCUUGCGACGGUCGACGUGCAGAAUUGAGAGGACUUGAAUGUGGUAAGGACCUCUACUACAUCGGCUAACACAGCAGCAAGGAUUCGCUUACUCAGUAUUAUCCAUUGCUCCAGCCCUAUAUAACCUUGCAGGUUAGGUUAUAUCGAUGAAUAUUAUUAAAAAAAUCUUCAUACAUUACAACAAUGUGAUUUAUUUCUGGUUCCAUAACAUCUAUUUGUGGUCUGCACUCUGGAAUAUGCUUGCAACAAUCGAGUAAAAGGAAUACUUACUGAAGUGGCCAGCAUUUCCGUCAACUGUGGUAUUUGAUCUUUACUACCACCAGUGUUUUUCAGGUGUAUUUUUUAAUUAUUUUUCUCUUUCUCCCAUUUACAAACAAAAUAUCUCUCUUUGUCAAAAAAACUUCAAAAUAGAUGGGCGCAGCAACGCGUGCCAACAAUGAUCUAGUACUCAUAGUAACAAUCCAAACUAGUGGUGUUUUGCAGCCAAACCGCAAAAUUCAUGAAAGUUUGUUCAAUGUGCAUGCACUCGUAGAGUCUUUGUUUCAAAGAUAAAAGUAACCACUCUUCAUCAGAUACACAAUGAUAGAAAAGUGACCAGAACCAAUCUCCGUGAUUUGCGCUAGAUUUGCUUGAAUAAGAUAUUUCAAAUAGUAGGAGUAUUUCUUAACUGUAUUUUACACAACAUGGUUGACCAACAAAAAAAAGGCAUGACUUGCAAACGGCAUCUUAAAUUUAUGACACAGAAUGAUCUCAGAUGGAUGGAAACAAAUGAUAACCUCACUCGGUACGUAUCUGGUGCACUGGG
Molecule: long non-coding RNA, 1519 nt
Organism: Triticum dicoccoides
Lineage: Eukaryota; Viridiplantae; Streptophyta; Magnoliopsida; Poales; Poaceae
Exons: 3
Source: RefSeq, a predicted model, not a curated record